UUAAUAAAGAGUUUGAUCCUGGCUGAGGACGAACGCUGGCGGCACGCUUAACAAAUGCAAGUCGAUCGGAGGUAUUUUGGUUUACUGAGAUACCUUAGUGGCGGACGGGUGAGUAACACGUGAGCAACCUACCUUGUAGAGAGGGAUAGCUUCUGGAAACGGAUGGUAAUACCUCAUGACAUAUACGGAAGGCAUCUUUUGUAUAUCAAAGAUUUAUCACUAUGAGAUGGGCUCGCGUCUGAUUAGAUAGUUGGUGAGGUAACGGCUCACCAAGUCGACGAUCAGUAGCCGGACUGAGAGGUUGAACGGCCACAUUGGGACUGAGACAC
Molecule: ribosomal RNA, 329 nt
Filed under: Ruminococcus sp.
Lineage: Bacteria; Bacillati; Bacillota; Clostridia; Eubacteriales; Oscillospiraceae
Description: bacterial SSU rRNA
Rfam family: Bacterial small subunit ribosomal RNA
Source: RNAcentral